AACAUCGCGCACCUGCGGGAACCUGCGGAAGGAUCAUUAUCGAGUUGCAAAACUCCAACCCUUUGUGAACAUACCUCAGUCGUUGCUUCGGCGGUGGACGGCCUGUUUUUCGGAACGGCCGGAAGCCGCCGGAGGUUCCAAACUCGUAUUUUUUAGUGUAUCUCUGAGCCUGAAAACAAAUAAUCAAAACUUUCAGCAACGGAUCU
Molecule: unclassified non-coding RNA, 206 nt
Filed under: soil metagenome
Description: partial contains 5.8S ribosomal RNA, internal transcribed spacer 2, and large subunit ribosomal RNA
Source: RNAcentral